This 253-nucleotide ribosomal RNA is filed under the name uncultured bacterium. Its description in RNAcentral is "partial 16S ribosomal RNA". It matches the Rfam family "Bacterial small subunit ribosomal RNA", at positions 524 to 776 of the family's 1533-position model. The record is from RNAcentral.
UACGUAGGGGGCUAGCGUUGUCCGGAUUUAUUGGGCGUAAAGAGCGUGUAGGCGGCCAGGUAGGUCUGCUGUGAAAACUCGAGGCUCAACCUCGAGACGUCGGCGGAAACCAUCUGGCUAGAGUCCGGAAGAGGAGAGUGGAAUUCCUGGUGUAGCGGUGAAAUGCGCAGAUAUCAGGAAGAACACCCGUGGCGAAGGCGGCUGCCUGGCCUAACACUGACGCUGAGGUGCGAAAGCGUGGGGAGCAAACAGG